AUACGUAGGUGGCGAGCGUUGUCCGGAUUUACUGGGUGUAAAGGGCGAGUAGGCGGGGAUUCAAGUCAGAUGUGAAAUACCGAGGCUUAACUUCGGAGCUGCAUUUGAAACUGGAUUUCUUGAGUGAUGGAGAGGCAGGCGGCAUUCCCUGUGUAGGGGGUAAAUGCAUAGAGAUCGGGAGGAACACCAGUGGCGAAGGCGGCCUGCUGGACAUUAACUGACGCUGAGGCGCGAAAGUGUGGGGAGCAAACAGGAUUAGAUACCCUGGUAGUCCACACCGUAAACGAUGGAUACUAGGUGUGGGGGGUUUGACCCCCUCCGUGCCGGAGUUAACACAAUAAGUAUCCCACCUGGGGAGUACGAUCGCAAGAUUGAAACUCAAAUGAAUUGACGGGG
Molecule: ribosomal RNA, 396 nt
Filed under: uncultured bacterium
Lineage: Bacteria
Description: partial 16S ribosomal RNA
Rfam family: Bacterial small subunit ribosomal RNA
Source: RNAcentral